RNAcentral lists this ribosomal RNA (1388 nucleotides) under Pseudomonas aeruginosa. RNAcentral's name for it is "16S ribosomal RNA". It matches the Rfam family "Bacterial small subunit ribosomal RNA". Lineage: Bacteria; Pseudomonadati; Pseudomonadota; Gammaproteobacteria; Pseudomonadales; Pseudomonadaceae. The record is from RNAcentral.
GUUUGAGCAUGGCUCAGAUUGAACGCUGGCGGCAGGCCUAACACAUGCAAGUCGAGCGGAUGAAGGGAGCUUGCUCCUGGAUUCAGCGGCGGACGGGUGAGUAAUGCCUAGGAAUCUGCCUGGUAGUGGGGGAUAACGUCCGGAAACGGGCGCUAAUACCGCAUACGUCCUGAGGGAGAAAGUGGGGGAUCUUCGGACCUCACGCUAUCAGAUGAGCCUAGGUCGGAUUAGCUAGUUGGUGGGGUAAAGGCCUACCAAGGCGACGAUCCGUAACUGGUCUGAGAGGAUGAUCAGUCACACUGGAACUGAGACACGGUCCAGACUCCUACGGGAGGCAGCAGUGGGGAAUAUUGGACAAUGGGCGAAAGCCUGAUCCAGCCAUGCCGCGUGUGUGAAGAAGGUCUUCGGAUUGUAAAGCACUUUAAGUUGGGAGGAAGGGCAGUAAGUUAAUACCUUGCUGUUUUGACGUUACCAACAGAAUAAGCACCGGCUAACUUCGUGCCAGCAGCCGCGGUAAUACGAAGGGUGCAAGCGUUAAUCGGAAUUACUGGGCGUAAAGCGCGCGUAGGUGGUUCAGCAAGUUGGAUGUGAAAUCCCCGGGCUCACCUGGGAACUGCAUCCAAAACUACUGAGCUAGAGUACGGUAGAGGGUGGUGGAAUUUCCUGUGUAGCGGUGAAAUGCGUAGAUAUAGGAAGGAACACCAGUGGCGAAGGCGACCACCUGGACUGAUACUGACACUGAGGUGCGAAAGCGUGGGGAGCAACAGGAUUAGAUACCCUGGUAGUCCCGCCGUAAACGAUGUCGACUAGCCGUNGGGAUCCUUGAGAUCUUAGUGGCGCAGCUAACGCGAUAAGUCGACCCGCCUGGGGAGUACGGCCGCAAGGUUAAAACUCAAAUGAAUUGACGGGGGCCCGCACAAGCGGUGGAGCAUGUGGUUUAAUUCGAAGCAACGCGAAGAACCUUACCUGGCCUUGACAUGCUGAGAACUUUCCAGAGAUGGAUUGGUGCCUUCGGGAACUCAGACACAGGUGCUGCAUGGCUGUCGUCAGCUCGUGUCGUGAGAUGUUGGGUUAAGUCCCGUAACGAGCGCAACCCUUGUCCUUAGUUACCAGCACCUCGGGUGGGCACUCUAAGGAGACUGCCGGUGACAAACCGGAGGAAGGUGGGGAUGACGUCAAGUCAUCAUGGCCCUUACGGCCAGGGCUACACACGUGCUACAAUGGUCGGUACAAAGGGUUGCCAAGCCGCGAGGUGGAGCUAAUCCCAUAAAACCGAUCGUAGUCCGGAUCGCAGUCUGCAACUCGACUGCGUGAAGUCGGAAUCGCUAGUAAUCGUGAAUCAGAAUGUCACGGUGAAUACGUUCCCGGGCCUUGCACACACCGCCCGU